GGUAAGAUCAACCUAUUAUAGGUUGGCUUCUAUGUUCGCAAGCAGAGGUGAAAGAUGGAGUGCAGUGUUAAUGUCCGGACAAGUAUUCAGUGAAUGCUGCAUGAAGGUCAUGAAAGAGGAGAGCAUCAAAGCUACGACACACGUUGUAACAGUGUUUGACCGUCAUAGACAAAAUUUCAGCGUCCAGGAAACAAUGGGCAACA
RNAcentral lists this long non-coding RNA (203 nucleotides) under Lathyrus oleraceus (garden pea). RNAcentral describes it as "Pisum sativum (pea) long non-coding RNA (PSAT_LNC040310)". Lineage: Eukaryota; Viridiplantae; Streptophyta; Magnoliopsida; Fabales; Fabaceae. The record is from RNAcentral.